This 76-nucleotide transfer RNA is filed under the name Microbacterium oryzae. RNAcentral's name for it is "tRNA-Lys". It matches the Rfam family "tRNA". Rfam says of the family: Transfer RNA (tRNA) molecules are approximately 80 nucleotides in length. Their secondary structure includes four short double-helical elements and three loops (D, anti-codon, and T loops). Further hydrogen bonds mediate the characteristic L-shaped molecular structure. tRNAs have two regions of fundamental functional importance: the anti-codon, which is responsible for specific mRNA codon recognition, and the 3' end, to which the tRNAs corresponding amino acid is attached (by aminoacyl-tRNA synthetases). tRNAs cope with the degeneracy of the genetic code in two manners: having more than one tRNA (with a specific anti-codon) for a particular amino acid; and 'wobble' base-pairing, i.e. permitting non-standard base-pairing at the 3rd anti-codon position. Lineage: Bacteria; Bacillati; Actinomycetota; Actinomycetes; Micrococcales; Microbacteriaceae. The record is from RNAcentral.
GGGCCUAUAGCUCAGUCGGUAGAGCAGCGGACUUUUAAUCCGUAGGUCGAGGGUUCGAGCCCCUCUGGGCCCACCC